RNAcentral lists this ribosomal RNA (496 nucleotides) under uncultured Chryseobacterium sp. RNAcentral's name for it is "bacterial SSU rRNA". It matches the Rfam family "Bacterial small subunit ribosomal RNA", at positions 10 to 507 of the family's 1533-position model. The record is from RNAcentral. Lineage: Bacteria; Pseudomonadati; Bacteroidota; Flavobacteriia; Flavobacteriales; Weeksellaceae.
AGUUUGAUCCUGGCUCAGGAUGAACGCUAGCGGAGGCCUAACACAUGCAAGCCGAGCGGUAUUUAUUCUUCGGAAUAGAGAGAGCGGCGUACGGGUGCGGAACACGUGUGCAACCUGCCUUUAUCAGGGGGAUAGCCUUUCGAAAGGAAGAUUAAUACCCCAUAAUAUAUCUGAUGGCAUCAUUAGAUAUUGAAAACUCCGGUGGAUAGAGAUGGGCACGCGCAAGAUUAGAUAGUUGGUGAGGUAACGGCUCACCAAGUCAGUGAUCUUUAGGGGGCCUGAGAGGGUGAUCCCCCACACUGGUACUGAGACACGGACCAGACUCCUACGGGAGGCAGCAGUGAGGAAUAUUGGACAAUGGGUGCGAGCCUGAUCCAGCCAUCCCGCGUGAAGGACGACGGUUCUAUGGAUUGUAAACUUCUUUUAUACUGGGAUAAACCUACUUACGUGUAAGUAGCUGAAGGUACAGUAUGAAUAAGCACCGGCUAACUCCGUG